This 447-nucleotide ribosomal RNA is filed under the name uncultured eukaryote. RNAcentral's name for it is "eukaryotic LSU rRNA". It matches the Rfam family "Eukaryotic large subunit ribosomal RNA", at positions 1030 to 1460 of the family's 3401-position model. The record is from RNAcentral.
UUGGGGAAGAAACUUCCUCGACCUAUUCUCAAACUUUAAAUAGGUAAGAUUUGGAGGAUACUUAGGUGAUCUUUCAAUACAUUGAAUAUCAAGUUCUUAGUGGGCCAUUUUGGUAAGCAGAACUGGCGAUGUGGGAUGAACCGAACGUUAAGUUAAAGUGCCAAAUAGUACGCUCAUGAGAUACCAUAAAAGGUGUUGGUUCAUUUUGACAGCAGGACGGUGGCCAUGGAAGUCGGAACCCGCUAAGGAGUGUGUAACAACUCACCUGCCGAAUGAACUAGCCCUGAAAAUGGAUGGCGCUUAAGCGUAUAACUUAUACUUAACCCUUACUUGAAUUAUUAUAACGAGUAAGGAGUAGGAGGGCGUAAAAGUUUCUAUUAUAUUGGCUGUUAAGCAUCUAAGCGUAAGCUUAUGUGGAGCAAACUUUAGUGUAGAUCUUGGUGGUAG